RNAcentral lists this ribosomal RNA (1482 nucleotides) under Weissella confusa. RNAcentral describes it as "bacterial SSU rRNA". It matches the Rfam family "Bacterial small subunit ribosomal RNA". The record is from RNAcentral. Lineage: Bacteria; Bacillati; Bacillota; Bacilli; Lactobacillales; Lactobacillaceae.
UGUGCGGGGGUGCCUAUACAUGCAAGUCGAACGCUUUGUGGUUCAACUGAUUUGAAGAGCUUGCUCAGAUAUGACGAUGGACAUUGCAAAGAGUGGCGAACGGGUGAGUAACACGUGGGAAACCUACCUCUUAGCAGGGGAUAACAUUUGGAAACAGAUGCUAAUACCGUAUAACAAUGACAACCGCAUGGUUGUUAUUUAAAAGAUGGUUCUGCUAUCACUAAGAGAUGGUCCCGCGGUGCAUUAGCUAGUUGGUAAGGUAAUGGCUUACCAAGGCGAUGAUGCAUAGCCGAGUUGAGAGACUGAUCGGCCACAAUGGGACUGAGACACGGCCCAUACUCCUACGGGAGGCAGCAGUAGGGAAUCUUCCACAAUGGGCGAAAGCCUGAUGGAGCAACGCCGCGUGUGUGAUGAAGGGUUUCGGCUCGUAAAACACUGUUGUAAGAGAAGAAUGACAUUGAGAGUAACUGUUCAAUGUGUGACGGUAUCUUACCAGAAAGGAACGGCUAAAUACGUGCCAGCAGCCGCGGUAAUACGUAUGUUCCAAGCGUUAUCCGGAUUUAUUGGGCGUAAAGCGAGCGCAGACGGUUAUUUAAGUCUGAAGUGAAAGCCCUCAGCUCAACUGAGGAAUUGCUUUGGAAACUGGAUGACUUGAGUGCAGUAGAGGAAAGUGGAACUCCAUGUGUAGCGGUGAAAUGCGUAGAUAUAUGGAAGAACACCAGUGGCGAAGGCGGCUUUCUGGACUGUAACUGACGUUGAGGCUCGAAAGUGUGGGUAGCAAACAGGAUUAGAUACCCUGGUAGUCCACACCGUAAACGAUGAGUGCUAGGUGUUUGAGGGUUUCCGCCCUUAAGUGCCGCAGCUAACGCAUUAAGCACUCCGCCUGGGGAGUACGACCGCAAGGUUGAAACUCAAAGGAAUUGACGGGGACCCGCACAAGCGGUGGAGCAUGUGGUUUAAUUCGAAGCAACGCGAAGAACCUUACCAGGUCUUGACAUCCCUUGACAACUCCAGAGAUGGAGCGUUCCCUUCGGGGACAAGGUGACAGGUGGUGCAUGGUUGUCGUCAGCUCGUGUCGUGAGAUGUUGGGUUAAGUCCCGCAACGAGCGCAACCCUUAUUACUAGUUGCCAGCAUUCAGUUGGGCACUCUAGUGAGACUGCCGGUGACAAACCGGAGGAAGGUGGGGAUGACGUCAAAUCAUCAUGCCCCUUAUGACCUGGGCUACACACGUGCUACAAUGGCGUAUACAACGAGUUGCCAACCCGCGAGGGUGAGCUAAUCUCUUAAAGUACGUCUCAGUUCGGAUUGUAGGCUGCAACUCGCCUACAUGAAGUCGGAAUCGCUAGUAAUCGCGGAUCAGCACGCCGCGGUGAAUACGUUCCCGGGUCUUGUACACACCGCCCGUCACACCAUGAGAGUUUGUAACACCCAAAGCCGGUGGGGUAACCUUCGGGAGCCAGCCGUCUAAGGUGACAGAAUUA